AUACUUACCUGACAGGGGAGAUGCCAUGAACAUAUAGGUGGUUUUCCCAGGGUAAGUCUUAUCCAUUGUACUGUGGAUGGGCUGACCCCUGCGAUUUCCCCAAAUGUGGGAAACUUGACUGCAUUAUUUGUGAUAGUAGGAGACUGCGUUGGCCUCUCCUCUGU
RNAcentral lists this small nuclear RNA (164 nucleotides) under Castor canadensis (American beaver). RNAcentral describes it as "U1 spliceosomal RNA (ENSCCNG00000003600.1)". It matches the Rfam family "U1 spliceosomal RNA". Rfam says of the family: U1 is a small nuclear RNA (snRNA) component of the spliceosome (involved in pre-mRNA splicing). Its 5' end forms complementary base pairs with the 5' splice junction, thus defining the 5' donor site of an intron. Lineage: Eukaryota; Metazoa; Chordata; Mammalia; Rodentia; Castoridae. The record is from RNAcentral.